Procambarus clarkii (red swamp crayfish) is the source of this 335-nucleotide long non-coding RNA. RefSeq lists it as uncharacterized. The record is from RefSeq and is a predicted model, not a curated record. NCBI's taxonomy places the organism in Eukaryota, Metazoa, Arthropoda, Malacostraca, Decapoda, Cambaridae.
GCCAAGAGCGGUCACCCGAGGCGCGUCCCUGCACUGUGUAGUGGCGAAUGGCGAAAAAAAAGUUGUGAAAUAUUUCUGGAAAUAUUCGUCUCUCCUUGUAGAGUGGAAGCAAUAAAAGUGUGUGGUGCGAGUCGUCCUCCCGGCAGGACAAGUGACUAUGACUAUAGUCUUCCUACACCCAGCCUCUCAUCGCUUCUGAUAAGGUAAGUGAAACCCCACAGCUCAUCGCACUGCAGCUCAACGACUGACAAGCAUUAUAUACAAGGUACGUGUCUCACAUUUUUGUAGUACUUUUCUUUAUUAAAUCAUAGACAAUAUAAAGGUCAUAUUUACAU